This 300-nucleotide long non-coding RNA is filed under the name Macaca nemestrina (pig-tailed macaque). RNAcentral's name for it is "lncRNA (ENSMNEG00000046072.1)". Lineage: Eukaryota; Metazoa; Chordata; Mammalia; Primates; Cercopithecidae. The record is from RNAcentral.
CUUAUAUUUACAUCUUAUAAUUUCAGGGCUAUCACAAAAACAUUGCUACUUUUUCUUCAUGAAUCAGGCAGAAAAUGAAUGAAUAAAUGAGUGAAAAACACACAGGUAACAAAAGUCUUCAACUCCAUGACAGCCCUGUAAGAUCCUUCAAGACUGGAACCAAUUAUAAUCGGGAAUGAUCUAGGAGGCUGACAAUGGAUUCUAGUGCUGGAUCUGCCCCUUGCUAACUUUUAUGAGUGAGCAAUUAACAUUGGUAAGCCUCCCUUGCCUCAAUUAUAUAAACAAGAUAGCAUAUUUUUU